UCAAGUUUGUGAAGCUCUUCUAACAUUACUAGUAGAGAUGGGACAGAGGAAAAGACAUGAACUAUCAAACAAAGAUGAAUGAGUGGCAUAUACAAAGAGAGCAUCCUCCGGCCUCUGGAUAUUGAUGCUUAACUACCUGUUUUCACGAGGCGUUUCAUCUCUUUUUUUUUUUUUUUUUUUUAAAUUGGGGGGAGCGGAAGGGGAAAGGGGGAGGGGAUUACAAUGUGGGGAAUCGAACCCUCACCAAUAAGGUGGGAGUUCAGGUAACUAACCAACUAAGCUACUAAUAUUCCUCGUGCUUCAUCUCUUCAUGUCAUGGUAUGAUAUGUUUCACUUGUUUCCGUUAUAAACUUCCGGUGAAUAGAAUAUAGAAGAAUGUCACAUGCGUAUCGACCCCCGCCCGUCUCCCCCUUUUCUAUUUAUUAGAAAAAAAGGGAAAAGAAGUGUGGCUGGACAAAAAAAGAAGUGAAGAAUGGAGCAAAUAAUUGCCACAUUGUGAUGUGCAUAAAACUCUGUAAUUGUUUUUAUUCUGAUGUGCAGAUUUGGUUCAUCUCUCCGAUUUUCUUUCUUUCCUUGUCCAAUUGUUCUUCCCAAAAUAAUGUGUUUUUGAUAAAAAGUCAUGAAACUUGUCUACUGAAUAUGCUUCAUUUCAUGAAGUGAACGUGGUAGUAAUAUGUGAUAAGUCCG
Molecule: long non-coding RNA, 687 nt
Filed under: Capsicum annuum
Lineage: Eukaryota; Viridiplantae; Streptophyta; Magnoliopsida; Solanales; Solanaceae
Description: long non-coding RNA (CANN_LNC001861)
Source: RNAcentral